CACGUGGUAUCCUGUCUGAAUAUGGGGGGACCAUCCUCCAAGGCUAAAUACUCCUGACUGACCGAUAGUGAACCAGUACCGUGAGGGAAAGGCGAAAAGAACCCCGGCGAGGGGAGUGAAAAAGAACCUGAAACCGUGUACGUACAAGCAGUGGGAGCACAGAGCAAUCUGUGUGACUGCGUACCUUUUGUAUAAUGGGUCAGCGACUUAUAUUCUGUAGCAAGGUUAACCGAAUAGGGGAGCCGAAGGGAAACCGAGUCUUAACUGGGCGUUAAGUUGCAGGGUAUAGACCCGAAACCCGGUGAUCUAGCCAUGGGCAGGUUGAAGGUUGGGUAACACUAACUGGAGGACCGAACCGACUAAUGUUGAAAAAUUAGCGGAUGACUUGUGGCUGGGGGUGAAAGGCCAAUCAAACCGGGAGAUAGCUGGUUCUCCCCGAAAGCUAUUUAGGUAGCGCCUCGUGAAUUCAUCUCCGGGGGUAGAGCACUGUUUCGGCAAGGGGGUCAUCCCGACUUACCAACCCGAUGCAAACUGCGAAUACCGGAGAAUGUUAUCACGGGAGACACACGGCGGGUGCUAACGUCCGUCGUGAAGAGGGAAACAACCCAGACCGCCAGCUAAGGUCCCAAAGUCAUGGUUAAGUGGGAAACGAUGUGGGAAGGCCCAGACAGCCAGGAUGUUGGCUUAGAAGCAGCCAUCAUUUAAAGAAAGCGUAAUAGCUCACUGGUCGAGUCGGCCUGCGCGGAAGAUGUAACGGGGCUAAACCAUGCACCGAAGCUGCGGCAGCGACACUGUGUGUUGUUGGGUAGGGGAGCGU
This 817-nucleotide ribosomal RNA is filed under the name Escherichia coli. RNAcentral's name for it is "partial 23S ribosomal RNA". It matches the Rfam family "Bacterial large subunit ribosomal RNA", at positions 423 to 1239 of the family's 2925-position model. Lineage: Bacteria; Pseudomonadati; Pseudomonadota; Gammaproteobacteria; Enterobacterales; Enterobacteriaceae. The record is from RNAcentral.